This is a long non-coding RNA of Peromyscus eremicus (cactus mouse), 329 nucleotides long. RefSeq lists it as uncharacterized. Lineage: Eukaryota; Metazoa; Chordata; Mammalia; Rodentia; Cricetidae. The record is from RefSeq and is a predicted model, not a curated record. The transcript is spliced from 3 exons.
UGUAGGUAUGUUUUUGGGGGCUGACCAUUUGAUACUGCAUACCCAAUUGGUGUGCUCUUCCCUGGGGAAGGCCAUCUCUCUUUCUCCCAGCUUCACUCAGAGUCUCUGAGCAAAGUGCUGAGUCAUUAGCAGGUUCAGCCUGCUCACCAUGGGGAGGAAUCCGUCAGAGGAUUCUUCAUCAAGGAGAUCAAACUCAAGUUAAACCUAAAAUAUCCUCAGCAAGAAUGCAAGGUGGAGGGACUUCUGCACCAUCUUACCCUGUUACCUGGGUGCCAACUUAGAGUGAGUUCAUCAUCAAAUAGAGUCAUCUGAAUAAAUAAAACUAAAUA